Molecule: ribosomal RNA, 221 nt
Filed under: uncultured bacterium
Lineage: Bacteria
Description: partial 16S ribosomal RNA
Rfam family: Bacterial small subunit ribosomal RNA
Source: RNAcentral
UAAUGUCUGGGAAACUGCCUGAUGGAGGGGGAUAACUACUGGAAACGGUAGCUAAUACCGCAUAAUGUCGCAAGACCAAAGUGGGGGGACUUCCGGGCCUCAUGCCAUCAGAUGUGCCCAGAUGGGAUUAGCUAGUAGGUGGGGUAACGGCUCACCUAGGCGACGAUCCCUAGCUGGUCUGAGAGGAUGACCAGCCACACUGGAACUGAGACACGGUCCAG